This 834-nucleotide ribosomal RNA is filed under the name uncultured bacterium. RNAcentral describes it as "bacterial SSU rRNA". It matches the Rfam family "Bacterial small subunit ribosomal RNA", at positions 636 to 1469 of the family's 1533-position model. The record is from RNAcentral.
UNUGACUUGAGUGCAGAAGGGGAGAGUGGAAUUCCANGUGUAGCGGUGAAAUGCGUAGAUAUAUGGAGGANCACCAGUGGCGAAAGCGGCUCUCUGGUCUGUCACUGACGCUGAGGCUNGAAAGCGUGGGUAGCGAACAGGAUUAGAUACCCUGGUAGUNCACGCCGUAAACGAUGAGUGCUAGGUGUUAGGCCCUUUCCGGGGCUUAGUGCCGGAGCUAACGCAAUAAGCACUCCGCCUGGGGAGUACGACCGCAAGGUUGAAACUCAAAGGAAUUGACGGGGGCCCGCACAAGCGGUGGAGCAUGUGGUUUAAUUCGAAGCAACGCGAAGAACCUUACCAGGUCUUGACAUCCCGAUGCUAUUCUUAGAGAUAGGAAGUUACUUCGGUACAUCGGAGACAGGUGGUGCAUGGUUGUCGUCAGCUCGUGUCGUGAGAUGUUGGGUUAAGUCCCGCAACGAGCGCAACCCUUAUUGUUAGUUGCCAUCAUUAAGUUGGGCACUCUAGCGAGACUGCCGGUAAUAAACCGGAGGAAGGUGGGGAUGACGUCAAAUCAUCAUGCCCCUUAUGACCUGGGCUACACACGUGCUACAAUGGUCGGUACAAUGAGUUGCGAGCCGGUGACGGCAAGCUAAUCUCUGAAAGCCGAUCUCAGUUCGGAUUGGAGGCUGCAACUCGCCUCCAUGAAGUCGGAAUCGCUAGUAAUCGCGGAUCAGCACGCCGCGGUGAAUACGUUCCCGGGCCUUGUACACACCGCCCGUCACACCACGAGAGUUUGUAACACCCGAAGUCGGUGAGGUAACCUUUUAGGGGCCAGCCGCCUAAGGUGGGANG